Molecule: ribosomal RNA, 541 nt
Filed under: Pasiphaea diaphana
Lineage: Eukaryota; Metazoa; Arthropoda; Malacostraca; Decapoda; Pasiphaeidae
Description: partial 16S ribosomal RNA
Rfam family: Bacterial large subunit ribosomal RNA
Source: RNAcentral
GUCUAUAUGAAUUAAAUUUAAAGUCUAAUCUGCCCACUGAAUAUUAAUUGAAGGGCCGCAGUACUUUAACUGUGCUAAGGUAGCAUAAUAAAUUGCCUUUUAAUUGGGGGCUGGGAUGAAUGGUUGGACAAAAUACAAGCUGUCUUUUUUAUAAAAUGUGAAUUUUACUUUUAAGUGAAAAGGCUUAAAUAAUUUAAGGGGACGAUAAGACCCUUUAAAGCUUAAUGAGAUUAAUGUAAUUUAUAAUUUAUAGUAUCAAAGGUAUUAUGUUAUUUCUUGUUUCGUUGGGGCGAUGAAGAUAGAAUCUGUAACUGUUAAAGGUAUAAGAUAGUUAUAACUAGAGAUUAAGAUCCUUGAAUUUAAAGAUUAAAAGAAAAAGUUACUUAAGGGAUAACAGCGUGAUUUUUUUAGAGAGUUCUUAUUGAAGAAAGUAGUUGCGACCUCGAUGUUGAAUUAAGAUAGAGUUAAGAUGCAGCUUUUUUGAUGAUAAGUCUGUUCGACUUUUAAAAUCUUACAUGAUUUGAGUUCAGACCGGCGUGAG